Molecule: non-coding RNA, 99 nt
Organism: Hyaloscypha finlandica
Lineage: Eukaryota; Fungi; Ascomycota; Leotiomycetes; Helotiales; Hyaloscyphaceae
Source: the annotation of a GenBank genome assembly
GCGUUUGUGGUUUAGUGGUAAAAUCCAUCGUUGCCAAAUCAGGAGUUCUAUCUCCUGAGCAGUAUCGAUGGGCCCCGGGUUCGAUUCCCGGCGAACGCA